This is a non-coding RNA of Notechis scutatus (mainland tiger snake), 656 nucleotides long. NCBI's taxonomy places the organism in Eukaryota, Metazoa, Chordata, Lepidosauria, Squamata, Elapidae. The record is from RefSeq and is a predicted model, not a curated record.
CUUUUUCUUAUUUUUAAAAAGUCCUAUAGUUUUCUUUCCAAUAUCUUUUUUUCCAGGGCCGAUUACUGGAAAUCUCAGCCCAAGAAAUUCUGUGAUUAUUGCAAGUGCUGGAUAACAGACAACGAACCGAGCAUCGAUUUCCACGAAAGAGGAAAGAACCACAAGGAAAAUGUGGCAAAGAAAAUUAGCGAGAUUAAACAGAAAAGCUUGGACAAGGCGAAAGCAGACGAAAAAAUGGCAAAGGACUUUGCAGCCAUGGAGGAAGCGGCCACGAAGGCUUAUCAAGAAGAUUUGAAAAGGCUCGGAUUGAAGGCAGGUAGGACCCCGAUGCUAUCAAACGGAAGAACCCUCAUUCCAAUCCUUUGCUUCUUUCCAGUAGCUUCCCUUGACACGAACGUAAAGAGUCCAUAAAAAUACAGGUAGUCCUCAACUUGCAACUGUUUCUUUAGUGACCGUUUGACUUUGGCACUGAAGUUAUCUAGAUCAACUUUGGGAUGAUCAGAGAUGGAGAAUGCCAUUCAGUUUAUGUGUGUUAUGACCCAGCUCCCCAAACAUGACAAACCCUCUGUAUUUAAAUCAAGGAUUCCUUUAUUUAGGAGCGCCAGGACCCCAGCAAAAUGUUUCUCUCUCACACAGCAGGCUAACAAGUCCAUCCG